RNAcentral lists this ribosomal RNA (464 nucleotides) under uncultured Klebsiella sp. RNAcentral's name for it is "bacterial SSU rRNA". It matches the Rfam family "Bacterial small subunit ribosomal RNA", at positions 338 to 795 of the family's 1533-position model. Lineage: Bacteria; Pseudomonadati; Pseudomonadota; Gammaproteobacteria; Enterobacterales; Enterobacteriaceae. The record is from RNAcentral.
CCUACGGGGGGCUGCAGUGGGGAAUAUUGCACAAUGGGCGCAAGCCUGAUGCAGCCAUGCCGCGUGUGUGAAGAAGGCCUUCGGGUUGUAAAGCACUUUCAGCGGGGAGGAAGGCGGUGAGGUUAAUAACCUCAUCGAUUGACGUUACCCGCAGAAGAAGCACCGGCUAACUCCGUGCCAGCAGCCGCGGUAAUACGGAGGGUGCAAGCGUUAAUCGGAAUUACUGGGCGUAAAGCGCACGCAGGCGGUCUGUCAAGUCGGAUGUGAAAUCCCCGGGCUCAACCUGGGAACUGCAUUCGAAACUGGCAGGCUAGAGUCUUGUAGAGGGGGGGAGAAUUCCAGGUGUAGCGGUGAAAUGCGUAGAGAUCUGGAGGAAUACCGGUGGCGAAGGCGGCCCCCUGGACAAAGACUGACGCUCAGGUGCGAAAGCGUGGGGAGCAAACAGGAUUAGAUCCCUAGUAGUC